GAUGAACGCUGGCGGCGUGCCUAAUACAUGCAAGUCGAGCGAACGGACGAGAAGCUUGCUUCUCUGAUGUUAGCGGCGGACGGGUGAGUAACACGUGGAUAACCUACCUAUAAGACUUGGAUAACUUCGGGAAACCGUAGCUAAUACCGGAUAAUAUUUUUAACCGCAUGGUUCAAAAGUGAAAGACGGUCUUGCUGUCAUUUCUAGAUGGAUCUGCGCUGCAUUAGCUAGUUGGUAAGGUAACGGCUUACCAAGGCAACGAUGCCUAGCCGACCUGAGAGGGUGUACCGCCACACUGGAACUGGGACACGGUCCAGACUCCUACGGACGGCAGAAGUAGGGACUCUUCCGAGAUGGGCGAAAGCCUGAAGGAGCAACGCCGCGUGAGUGCUGAAGGUCUUCGGAUCGUAUGACUCUGUUAUUAGGGAAGACCAUAUGCGUAAGUAACUGUGCACAUCUUGACGGUACCUAAACAGAAAGCCACGGCUAACUACGUG
RNAcentral lists this ribosomal RNA (497 nucleotides) under uncultured bacterium. RNAcentral describes it as "partial 16S ribosomal RNA". It matches the Rfam family "Bacterial small subunit ribosomal RNA", at positions 28 to 507 of the family's 1533-position model. The record is from RNAcentral.